GAACUCUUCAAGCACUAUACAGGGCUUUCAGGAAGACCCAAUGAACAAUUUUUGAGGACCUCUGCGAAGAAGCAGAGGUG
Molecule: small nuclear RNA, 80 nt
Filed under: Oesophagostomum dentatum (nodular worm)
Lineage: Eukaryota; Metazoa; Nematoda; Chromadorea; Rhabditida; Strongylidae
Description: SmY spliceosomal RNA
Rfam family: SmY spliceosomal RNA
Source: Rfam by way of RNAcentral